CUUAAAAAUGAAAUACAGCGUAAAUUCCAAACUAUUCCUAACUUUGGUGUAUUCGCAUACCAUUCACUACAAAUGGGAAUACACAAUUAUAGUGACAAAAUACAACAUCUGUUUUACAAUAAAAUGUCAAUCAUACUGUCCAAAAUCGAUCAGAAUAUAACUAGUGUAUGGAUUGCACUUUAUGAACCAUUAUACUUAUAUACUCAUACAU
Molecule: long non-coding RNA, 211 nt
Filed under: Mytilus galloprovincialis (Mediterranean mussel)
Lineage: Eukaryota; Metazoa; Mollusca; Bivalvia; Mytilida; Mytilidae
Source: RNAcentral